CUACGCACGGGAAAGAAAUCAGAUUAAAAAGGCUCUUGCUAAUGGGGAAGUUACUUGGUUGGAAGCCAUCUUUCCACAUCUGUUGUAAAUAUUGUCUGCUCCAGGGAGAGCCUCACAGAGAUAAGGAAGGUCUCGGACCAGCCCAGAGGAGGAGACUGGAGCAGCAGGAGUGAGAAGAUUGUACUGCACUGGCAUUCCAGAAACGGUGGUCCAGGUAAGAGCAGCAGAGAGAAGAGGCAGAGCGUUUCAGAUGCUACAGAAAAUACAUUACCAGUAGCACUGGAUACUAACCCACACUGAGCACACGCGUCAUGAACAUCACUCGGAGCGGAGGCCCUCUGUCCUUACACACGUAAAGCAGAUUUGCCUCAGUAUUGUUCGCUCUGAGGGGUGAAGUAAUCAUCCACUUAGACCAGCUUAGAAUGUUUUUAUUUCCAGCUGUCCCAACAAAUUUGGGGGGAGGGAUAGCUCAGUGGUUUGAGCGUUGGCCUGCUAAACCCAGGGUUGUGAGUUCAAUCCUUGAGGGGGCCAUUUAGGGCUCUGGGGCAAAAAUUGGGGAUUGGUCCUGCUUUGAGCAGGGGGUUGGACUAGAUGACCUCCUGACGUCCCUUCCAACCGUGAGAUUCUAUGAUUCUAUGAAAUUCACCCCACCACUGGUUUCUGCUGUGGAAGUGUGUCUACUCCACAGAGCUGCCUUGAUUGACCCUAUCUCAGCCAACUUCUCCUGAUUCAGGCUAACAUGCGACAGUGUGACCAUGCCAUAAGUCAACAAGUGUGUGCUGCGGUGGGCUGUGACUCCCUGUGUCCGCACUAACACUGCAUCCGGUUGUGUUACACUAAGGCUUCUGGGAACGUGUCCCAGGGUUCACAGCAUCACUACAAACUGCACCACUCUCCCUAGGCAUCAUGGGAGAACUCUGCUCCCUGCCAGGGCGGAUCUGAGACUGCAAAGAUCUAAAACCUGGAAACUCCCACAAUCCACCUCGUUCCAGGAAGCCAGCAGGUGUGGUGGCAUGGAGCCCGCACACAGCAGAAACACACUGCUGCUGGUAGCCGUUUCUAUAGAGCUACUGAUGUCUUGGCAAGAGAAGCAGGUACAGCAGAAAGCAGCAAUAAGUGUCCCAGCAGCAGCCUUGCCCAGAGAAUGGCAAGGUGUGAUGCUGACAGGAGAAUGUCUCAGCCACAUGCAGCGCUUCAGGAGACAACUAAGAAGAUAAAGGGGAAUGUUUUAGACUGAGUGGAUUCAAGAAUCUGAAUCUUUACAGGCUACUUUCUACUAGACCUCCAGUCCCUGGCAAUAAGAGGUGACCUAUACUCUCAAAUGUUUGCUUUGUAUGAUGGAGACAAUAGUGAUUUAUAGGUGCUGGGGCAAACGGCUCUGUUUUGGUGCAUCUUGUGAACAAACCAGCAUAAGAAAGCUCAUUAAUUGAAUACAUGCAAAAGCCAAUUCCACCCCCCAUAAAAUGUGAGGUCUUCCCAGAGAGGGAUGUUUCAAAACCCUUUCCAGUGAGGAUUAGCAGCCGGACUGUCAUCAUCAGUACGCAACAGCACUUGAAACACGCCAGGUAAUUCAGCAUGACCAGAUGAAAGGGAAGGAGCAGUUUAAAUGUUAGUGGUGGUUACUCACUGACAGCAGCCAUACGAAUGCUCUUGCUGAAUUCUGCAAGUCAAGCUCUAGACAGGCACUGGUGCGCUAAAUGCAGCUGGCAGACGUUUCAGCCCAAGAUUAUUUAUUUUACAAAAUUUUUUAAAAAGCAGCCGAUUUGGCACUGCUAAAAUGCUGUGCAGAUUUGUGUGGUUUUCACAGAAUUGUGUGUGUCAAAAUUUCAAGAGUCAAAGGUGUUUUGACUUUUUAGUUCCACACAAUUUUGUUUGGACAUUUCCUUCAAAAUUUAUUGUUUAAAAAUAUAAAGAAAACUCAAUCAGAACAAAGUGUCUCGUUCACCCCCAAAACAAAAAUUUUGCAAAUGUUCAAUUCACUGAUAUUUUAAAAACCUCACACUACCUGGAUUUUGGCUCAAAUCCUUCCCCAAAGCAAAAAAAAAAAGAAAAAAGUUUUUGAAUUGCCAGGAUACUGAGAAACCCACACGGCUUUCAACACCAAGUGGCAUGGAGCAUGUGACAGAAACUAGGUGUUUUAAUCAGAUACAGAUAGUGAAAUUGCACAUCAGAAUAAGUUCUCUCUUUCCCGCCCCUGCACUGGGCUUGAAUGCGCGGGGUACCGCUGUUGUGACAUUAGCACAUAUGCCUUCCUCAUAGCAGAGAGGGGAUGUCAUAGGUGCAGGAAGAAGGUGUUGUGCACCAGGGAGGCUUUGCCUCAUUCCUGACCUUUGGGCAUGCUCCCUUCUCCUGCCUGCGUGGCUAACCUUGGAUGCCCACAGUGACAUGUGGAUACAUGAUGGGUGCCUGGUUUAUGAGCAGAGAUUAAAUAACUAGCUGUGCACUUUUGAA
This is a long non-coding RNA of Chelonia mydas (Green sea turtle), 2451 nucleotides long. RefSeq lists it as uncharacterized. The record is from RefSeq and is a predicted model, not a curated record. The transcript is spliced from 2 exons. NCBI's taxonomy places the organism in Eukaryota, Metazoa, Chordata, Testudines, Cheloniidae.